GAUAGCUCAAUGUCCUUUGCUGCAUAAGGUAUAUGGUCCGAAGUCUCUGUAAUAGUACUUGGCUAGGUCUUAAAGGGCCGGUAGUGCCAUACGAAAUUCCAUUACUCCCAGCCAUUGUACUUAAAGGGGUCCUAUCUUUCUGGGACCAUAAUCACUGGGCAGGAGGUGCGCCAGCAGCCCCCUCCAGGAAACUGGGGCGUACUCUGGUAUAGGACCCAGUCC
Non-coding RNA from Pelobates cultripes (western spadefoot toad), 222 nucleotides. Lineage: Eukaryota; Metazoa; Chordata; Amphibia; Anura; Pelobatidae. The record is from the annotation of a GenBank genome assembly.